GACGAACGCUGGCGGCGUGCUUAACACAUGCAAGUCGAACGGAAAGGCCCUGCUUUUGUGGGGUGCUCGAGUGGCGAACGGGUGAGUAACACGUGAGUAACCUGCCCUUGACUUUGGGAUAACUUCAGGAAACUGGGGCUAAUACCGGAUAGGAGCUCCUGCUGCAUGGUGGGGGUUGGAAAGUUUCGGCGGUUGGGGAUGGACUCGCGGCUUAUCAGCUUUUUGGUGGGGUAGUGGCUUACCAAGGCUUUGCCGGGUCGCCGGCCUGAGAGGGGGGCCGGGCACAUUGGGCCUACGAUACGGCCCAGAAUCCUACGGUAGGCAGCAGGGGGGAAUAUUGCACAAUGGGGCGAAGCCUGAGGCAGCAACUCCGGGUUCGGGAUGACCGGCUUUGGGUUGUAAACCGCUUUCGCCUGUGACGAAGCGUGAGUGACGGUAAUGGGUAAAGAAGCACCGGCUAACUACGUG
Molecule: ribosomal RNA, 468 nt
Filed under: uncultured bacterium
Lineage: Bacteria
Description: partial 16S ribosomal RNA
Rfam family: Bacterial small subunit ribosomal RNA
Source: RNAcentral